UUACAUUUCACUUGGUUACAAGUCUGACGGAGGUUUUUAAUCAUCUGGAGCCACACUGAAAACAGUUCUCCCUGAAAUCCUCUUUUAGCUGAUAAUCACUAACUUUGGGCAUGUCAGCUUCUAUGUCCACUGACUAUGGUCCUUUUUGAGAUGGCAUCUUUGAUUCAGCUAUUCAGAACUUAAUGAAGUUGGUGACUAUGACAAUGUGGAGAAAUCAUGUCAGAAAAUGUAGUUUGUACUGGGGCUGUCAAUGCUGUAAAGGAAGUCUGGGAAGAAAGAAUAAAAAAACACAAUGAAGACCUGAAGCGAGAGAAGGAAUUUCAACAGAAGCUAGUGCGGAUCUGGGAAGAGAGAGUAAGCUUAACUAAGCUAAGAGAAAAGGUCAUCAAGGAAGAUGGAAGAGUCAUUUUGAAGAUAGAAAAAGAGGAAUGGAAGACCCUUCCUUCUUCUCUACUGAAACUGAAUCAGCUACAGGAAUGGCAACUUCAUAGAACUGGUUUGUUGAAAAUCCCUGAAUUUAUUGGAAGAUUCCAAAACCUCAUUGUAUUAGAUUUAUCUCGAAACACAAUUUCAGAGAUACCUCGAGGAAUUGGACUGCUCACUAAACUUCAGGAACUAAUUCUUAGUUAUAACAAGAUCAAGACCGUCCCCAGAGAAUUAAGUCAUUGUGCCAGCUUGGAGAAACUAGAACUUGCUGUAAACAGAGACAUAUGUGAUCUUCCACAAGAGCUCAGCAAUUUGUUAAAGCUUACGCACCUUGAUUUGAGUAUGAACCACUUUACUACAAUCCCUCUUGCUGUGUUGAAUAUGCCUGCUCUUGAAUGGCUCGACAUGGGAAGCAACAAACUUGAACAACUUCCCGAUACUAUAGAAAGAAUGCAAAGCCUACAUACAUUAUGGCUGCAACGGAAUGAAAUAACAUGCUUGCCAGAAACAAUCAGCAAUAUGAAAAAUCUGGGUACUCUUGUUCUCAGCAACAAUAAACUGCAAGAUAUUCCAGUGUGCAUGGAAGAGAUGAACAAUCUGAGGGAAAUAAAUGUACACUUCUAUGGCAUCUAUAAAAAUACUGUUUUUUGGUGAACUGCUAGGUUUGUCAACUUCAGAGACAAUCCACUGAAAUUGGAAGUAACGCUUCCCCCCAGUGAAAGCCUGGAUGAAGAAGAGGAACGGGAAUUAUUUGGUCUUCAGUUUAUGCACGCAUAUAUACAGGAGUCACGGAUGAAAGCAGAUAACCAAGUCAACUGUUCCACUACUUUACCAAUCUCCAUAAAUACUGAUGGAUAAUUUAACUCAAGAUGCCCUGCUGAAGAGAAUUACUUUGGGAAUUUGGUGAAUUCGCUAAUGUUUGGACUUUUAAAGUAAAAAGAAAAACUAUUACCAAAGUUCAAUGAGGCCACAACAUUUUUAAAAAUUCAUAUUAUCUGCUAUGUAAAUUAUAUUUUCAUGAAUAUAAAAAUACAAUUAAAAAAUUCUUUUGGUGGAAGACAUAUGUUCAGAAUUUCUUUUCCAUUAAGGAGUUGUUUCUGGUGAUAAAGAAUGAUUUGGUAAAGCAGUUAACAAUACAUUUUCCAAAGACACCAGAGGAUCUGUAUAGUACUGUAAAGCAGGACUGAAUCCUUUCUGCUGUAAAUACUCAACUCGGCCUUGGUCAAUCAGCAAUUUACAAAGAUGUCCGAUUUUCUUCUUUUCUUCAACAGUAAGGAACCUAAAUCAAAUAAAAACAAAAUAUUGUUAAAAUCUGUAAAAGUUUAUAAAAAAAUUAUUUUAGUCACUUCUAUUUAUUGAUAAGUUCCUAAGUAACCUGCAGUAUACUAUGUGCUAUGUCCCAUGCUUCCAAGAUACAUUUUUAUUUAUGCCACAAUAAAAGUGUAUUUUAAUGUAUUCUAAAA
Molecule: RNA transcript, 1889 nt
Organism: Canis lupus familiaris (dog)
Lineage: Eukaryota; Metazoa; Chordata; Mammalia; Carnivora; Canidae
Gene: LRRC39
Gene name: leucine rich repeat containing 39
Exons: 9
Source: RefSeq, a predicted model, not a curated record